Molecule: ribosomal RNA, 400 nt
Filed under: uncultured bacterium
Lineage: Bacteria
Description: bacterial SSU rRNA
Rfam family: Bacterial small subunit ribosomal RNA
Source: RNAcentral
GACGAACGCUGGCGGCGUGCUUAACACAUGCAAGUCGAGCGGUAAGGCCCUUUCGGGGGUACACGAGCGGCGAACGGGUGAGUAACACGUGGGUGACCUGCCCUCAGCUCUGGGAUAAGCCUGGGAAACCGGGUCUAAUACUGGAUAUGACUCCAUGACGCAUGUUGGUGGGGUGGAAAGCCUUGUGCGGCUGAGGAUGGGCCCGCGGCCUAUCAGCUUGUUGGUGGGGUGAGGCCUACCAAGGCGACGACGGGUAGCCGGCCUGAGAGGGCGACCGGCCACACUGGGACUGAGACACGGCCCAGACUCCUACGGGAGGCAGCAGUGGGGAAUCUUGCGCAAUGGGCGAAAGCCUGACGCAGCGACGCCGCGUGAGGGAUGACGGCCUCGGUGUAACUAC